Molecule: ribosomal RNA, 434 nt
Filed under: uncultured soil bacterium
Lineage: Bacteria
Description: bacterial SSU rRNA
Rfam family: Bacterial small subunit ribosomal RNA
Source: RNAcentral
AACGCGAAGAACCUUACCAAGGCUUGACAUAUACGAGAACGGGCCAGAAAUGGUCAACUCUUUGGACACUCGUAAACAGGUGGUGCAUGGUUGCCGUCAGCUCGUGUCGUGAGAUGUUGGGUUAAGUCCCGCAACGAGCGCAACCCUCGUUCUAUGUUGCCAGCCCGUAAUGGUGGGACCUCAUGGAAUACUGCCGGGGUCAACUCGGAGGAAGGUGAGGAUGACGUCAAAUCAUCAUGCCCCUUAUGUCUUGGGCUUCCCGCAUGCUACAAUGGCCGGUACAAUGGGCUGCAAUACCGCAAGGUGGAGCGAAUCCCAAAAAGCCGGUCCCAGUUCGGAUUGAGGUUUGCAACUCGACCUCAUGAAGUCGGAGUCGCUAGUAAUCGCAGAUCAGCAACGCUGCGGUGAAUACGUUCCCGGGUCUUGUACACACC